GACGAACGCUGGCGGCGUGCUUAACACAUGCAAGUCGAACGGAAAGGCCCUGCUUUUGUGGGGUGCUCGAGUGGCGAACGGGUGAGUAACACGUGAGUAACCUGCCCUUGACUUUGGGAUAACUUCAGGAAACUGGGGCUAAUACCGGAUAGGAGCUCCUGCUGCAUGGUGGGGGUUGGAAAGUUUCGGCGGUUGGGGAUGGACUCGCGGCUUAUCAGCUUGUUGGUGGGGUAGUGGCUUACCAAGGCUUUGACGGGUAGCCGGCCUGAGAGGGUGACCGGCCACAUUGGGACUGAGAUACGGCCCAGACUCCUACGGGAGGCAGCAGUGGGGAAUAUUGCACAAUGGGCGGAAGCCUGAUGCAGCAACGCCGCGUGCGGGAUGACGGCCUUCGGGUUGUAAGCCGCUUUCGCCUGUGACGAAGCGUGAGUAACGGUAAUGGGUAAAGAAGCACCGGCUAACUACGUGCCAGCAGCCGCGGUGAUACGUAGGGUGCGAGCGUUGUCCGGAUUUAUUGGGCGUAAAGGGCUCGUAGGUGGUUGAUCGCGUCGGAAGUGUAAUCUUGGGGCUUAACCCUGAGCGUGCUUUCGAUACGGGUUGACUUGAGGAAGGUAGGGGAGAAUGGAAUUCCUGGUGGAGCGGUGGAAUGCGCAGAUAUCAGGAGGAACACCAGUGGCGAAGGCGGUUCUCUGGGCCUUUCCUGACGCUGAGGAGCGAAAGCGUGGGGAGCGAACAGGCUUAGAUACCCUGGUAGUCCACGCUGUAAACGGUGGGUACUAGGUGUGGGGUCCAUUCCACGGGUUCCGUGCCGUAGCUAACGCUUUAAGUACCCCGCCUGGGGAGUACGGCCGCAAGGCUAAAACUCAAAGGAAUUGACGGGGCCCCGCACAAGCGGCGGAGCAUGCGGAUUAAUUCGAUGCAACGCGUAGAACCUUACCUGGGUUUGACAUGGAUCGGGAGUGCUCAGAGAUGGGUGUGCCUCUUUUGGGGUCGGUUCACAGGUGGUGCAUGGCUGUCGUCAGCUCGUGUCGUGAGAUGUUGGGUUAAGUCCCGCAACGAGCGCAACCCUUGUUCACUGUUGCCAGCACGUUAUGGUGGGGACUCAGUGGAGACCGCCGGGGUCAACUCGGAGGAAGGUGGGGAUGACGUCAAGUCAUCAUGCCCCUUAUGUCCAGGGCUUCACGCAUGCUACAAUGGCUGGUACAGAGAGUGGCGAGCCUGUGAGGGUGAGCGAAUCUCGGAAAGCCGGUCUCAGUUCGGAUUGGGGUCUGCAACUCGACCUCAUGAAGUCGGAGUCGCUAGUAAUCGCAGAUCAGCAACGCUGCGGUGAAUACGUUCCCGGGGCU
Molecule: ribosomal RNA, 1346 nt
Filed under: uncultured bacterium
Lineage: Bacteria
Description: partial 16S ribosomal RNA
Rfam family: Bacterial small subunit ribosomal RNA
Source: RNAcentral